UUUCCUCUGUAGAAGAGUAGUGUCACUCACAAAUGUAGGGCAAAUGUUUGAAAUUUCAAGGACCCGAGUGCAUUUUCUUCAAAAUACCCAACUUCUUAUGCUUAGAUCUUUCUCUUCGCCCAAACAACACUCUUUCACAGUGUCUUACCUCAUGAACUCAUGUGGGUUGUCCCCAGAAACUGCUCUAUCUGCAUCACGGAAGAUACAGUUUGAAACCCCAGAAAGAGCAGACUCCGUCCUCGCACUGCUUAGAAAUUAUGGAUGCACCAAUAGCCAUAUCUCCAAAAUUGUAAGCCGGUAUCCGCUCCUGCUCACUGCCAAUCCUGAGAAGACCCUUUUGCCCAAACUGGAGUUUUUCUGUUCUGUAGGCUUUUCAGGGCCUGACCUUGCCAGUAUUGUCGUUGCUGGCCCACAGAUCUUGAAAAGGAGCUUGGAAAAUCAUGUUAUUCCUAGUUAUAAUUUCCUCAAGAGUGUACUUAUGGUCAACGAAAAUAUUGUGAGGGCCCUCAAUAAGUCAUACUGGCUUCAUGGUCAAAGCCUGCAAAACAUCAUGGCUCCAAAUAUUGCAAUUCUGAAAGAAAUUGGAGUUCCCAUGUCAAAUAUUUCAUUUUUGGUAACAUGUCACCCUGGCGCAGUGUCCCAAAACAAGGAAAAGUUUAGUAGAAGUGUCAAGAUGGUUAUUGAAAUGGGAUUUGAUCCUUUGAGAGUUCCAUUUGUGAAAGCUGUUCAAGUGAUCAUGGAAAUGGGUGAAUCAAUGUGGGAGCAUAAAAUGGAGGUUUAUAGGCGGUGGGGUUUGACAGAUGAUGAGAUUAUGUUGAUGUUCCGAUUGGAUCCCUUAUGUAUGAAGUCAUCGGAGAAGAAAAUAAUGAGUGUGAUGGAUUUUCUGGUUAAUAAGAUGGGUUGGAAACCUGCUGCUAUUGCUAGAUAUCCAACAGUCUUUUUGCGCAGUCUUGAGAAGAGGAUUAUUCCAUGGUGUUCAGUAGUGAAAGUUCUUCAAAUGAAGGGGUUGGUGAAGAAGGAUCUGUGUUUGAGUUUUUUAGGCUCCAAUGAGAAGAAUUUGUUCAAUAGGUUCAUGGUGAAAUAUGAGCAUGAUGUUCCUGAGCUUUUAAAUGUAUAUCAAGGAAAAAUUGGUAUUUUGGAACUUGGCUUCGUGUCUGAGGGGAUAAUGUAGGAUGAAACAGUUGUAGUUUCUCAACUUAACAAUUCCAAAUAAUUAUCCUUUCUGUCGUUUUUAUUAUUUGAGACUUGGUUUGAAGUCAUGCUAACUUCUCUUUUGCACUGUUUUUGACUUUGAUUGCUUUUGACCUUGUUUAAGAUGUAAUAUAGGAUGUCUUAAAAGUUCAUGGACACAUAUACAUUCUGGGGUGAAAAAAAAAAUGUAUAGAGGAUAACAACUAAUUAUUUUGUAUAGAUAGCCCUUGUAGACCAAAAUCCCCAUAAUAUGGUUCAUGGAGUGCUUCAGUUUAUCUACAAUCCCUUUUUUCUACAUGGGAAGUAAAUCAAAGAAGGGUCUAAAACUAUACUUUUUUUUGGCCUAACAAUAUUUGGAAUGUUGUAAAUUACUGAAGUAUUAUGAACUUGGCAUCAUUUUCCCCCUUACAUUAUAUUUGCAGUGAACUAGUGACCUGAUUUUCUACAUUAACUGAACUGAAAUUGAGUUCCUGUUGGGGGUUGUAGGAGCAUAGCUUUUAGCUUUGUUUUAAUUAGAAGGACAGCUCCAGAACAUGUGAAAUAUCCCAACUCCAAGUUGUGGGCAGUGCUAAGAUCUCCCUUUAUGGUUUAUCCUCAUGUUUUGGUCAAGAAAUAUGGCUUCCUCUGCAAAACACUUCAAUUACUACAAAUGAGAAGAAGCACCAAGGGAUUAAAUCCACCACUAAACUCUUUUUUCUUUUUUCUUUUUUAUAGGUCUAAAUCCACCAUGAACUCUGCUUUUUUUAAACCAUGUAAGUUUUCAAAUCUUUCUGAUAAUCGCCAAAUUAGGCAUCGUUCAAAGUAGCAAAAGAUGAACAAUAAUUUGUUUGGUUUUUCCCUUUCCAUCCCAUUUUUCUUUCCACCCAGAUCUCCAUAAUUUGGUUUUUCUAGUUGUUAUAGGUCCUUGAUUAAAAAUAGACAGGCAAGAAAUCUGGAUUGAUUUGCGUGUUGAACUUAUGGAAAUGAUGGUUGUGUUGUAACGUUUCUCUUACAUGUGAAAAUGAUGGUAAUUUUACAUUUCUCUUGCAUGUCUUCCCUUCUACAUUCUCCCUUUCAUUGUGGUCAAAGUUAGUACUGGGGAUACCCAAAGUUUCUUUUGAAAUGCCAAGUUUUGGGUUUUUAGUUCAAUAAAAGAGAAAUACAAAUGGGCAAGGAGAUCUCCAAAAGAUCAAGAAGGUAUAUAGAUAUUAAUUAUGUUGUAAAAAUAUCAAGAGAGCAUGUCGAGAUAGUUGCUGUAAUUCUAGCAGCAACUAGUUCAGACUUCAGAGUAAUUUCCUAAAUAAUGCCCCAUAAAACUAAAAGUUAAACAUGGUUGAGUGAUCUCAUCAUCAGAAACAACUUUUGUCUUGAAUUAUUCAUCUUUUGCAUGGCUCCUGGGGGAUCUGCUAGGUGCCUUCUUCACAUCCUCCUUCCCUGAUACUGAUAGUAGCGUUACUAGUGAGAUGAUCAAUUUACCAAAUCUUAAGCCUAUAUAUGAAAAAAAGAAGGUUGGUAGGCAGCUUGCAUUUCUGGAGUUUCAAUGGUUCUAUUUUUGGAAUAGGACCGUCUUGAGUUGUUCAAUUGUUAAAUAUCUGCUGUGGAAAGGCUUUGUAAUGAAAAAUUCUCGCUUAACUUAUAUAUUGAUAUCUGCUGAGAAUUAAUUCUUGCUUAGUUUGUGUUCAAAUGUCAGUAACAUGUUCAUCAAUUGUUCAAUUGUUCAAUGUCUGUCAGGGGAUAAUAGGUAUCUGGAUGGAAAGAACAGAAGUAAUUCAAGGUUCUCUAUAAGCUAAGAAAGGUACUGUAAGAUCAAAGGUUCUAUGGGGGCAUCAUCCUCCCAUCAUUGCUUUUACCUCGAAUUGGGUACCAAGUACUUGAUUGAUUAUUGUUGUGAUUCCCUUUAUUUUUAUUUUGCAAGGCAUUGCCUCAUUGGUUUUGCCUUGUCGUAACAUUUUCUUUUCAAGCCUGAUGCUCCAUAAUUCUGCUCUGCUGUUAUUCCAAGGCCUCUGUUCAUCCAAUGCCCCUUCAGUUCCUUCUCACAUGGAAACUUCUCAAGACCUUGGAUCUUCCCUGACAGUUCUUUCAAAGCAGAACGUGCCGUAUGCAACAUGUUGGGCCUUCUACUGAGUGACCCUGGGAAACUCCCGUUUGCCACAGAGCUUUGGUAUGAAUUGGAUGUUUCUAUUUGAUAAGGAAUACAAGGCAGCUAACCCAUUGGCAGACUUUGGAUUUUCUUUUCUAAUCUGUAAUAGUUGUUGGCUAAUGUAUUUCUACAGAGGCAGGCAACCCCACUGAGCCCCAAGUUCUAGCUUGCCUAGAGGUCUUAAAAUAAGAGUGGCGUUGGGGUCUCUUGCCUACAAAUUGCAGAAAAUGUGGUGGUUCUUCCUCAAGCAUUAUCAUUCGGGUUGGUCUAUGGUACCGAAUUUAGGGCGCUACCUUAGAAUUUUCCAUAUCAUAUUCAGACUUUAAAGCCUCUUGUCACAAGACUCACAACCAGCAAAGAAAUUAGGGUCAUGGGACUAGACGAUAACCAAUCUUUAUAAUCUAUAGGUAGAUUGAAGGGCAGAAAAUUCAUUUCUCUAUCAUAUGUAUGGAAAUUUAACUAUCAAGAUAAGUUGGUUUCUUUGCCAUUUGAUAAAUUGUGUAGUUUCAUCGCAUCUAAUUUGUGAUGUCCCACAUCGGAUAGGGGAGGAAGUUCCUGGCGCUAUAUAUGUAGAGGCUCUUCUUAACCAAGUAGACGCGUUUUAAAGCCGUGAGGGCCCUCCUUGGGCCCAAAGCGGACAAUAUCUACAUGGUUGGGUGCGGGUCGUUACAAAUGGUAUCAGAGCCGAUCCCCAACCCCGGUGUGGGGGUUUGUUUGGCUCCGUAAGGGGUGUUUGUCUGUUUGGCCCCACAAUCCCAUGGGACACAACGAGGACGUUGUGUCUGCAUGGGGGGGUGUUUGUGAUGUCCCACAUCGGAUAGGGGAGCAAGUUCCUGGCGCUAUAUAUGUAGAGACUCCUCUUAAUCAAGUAGACGUCUUUUAAAGCCGUGAGGGCCCCCUUGGGCCCAAAGCGGACAAUAUCUACAUGGUUGGGAGCGGGUCAUUACAUAAUUUGUACAUGAAAAGCAGUUCCAAAACUUUUUUCAAAGAAAAGACAUGAGGAAUGGGAAAAGAACUUCGAAGUUUUUAAGAAAAGUGAAUAAUUACAAUUAAAAGGGAUGAAAUAAUUCUCAAAUUUGUAAAUCUCAUUUCAUACCUAAUUUUUUAAAAACCUUCUUAAAAGUAUUUUGGGCAUUUACGAUCGAUAAAAUGGGCUCAUAUUCUCUAGAACAAUAUACAAACUUUCGUUACCACAUCCAACCAGAUAUGCAAAGUUUGUCCACUUAGAGAGGCUUAGAGCCAUUAUCAACCCCAUCUUUCCAUCAAAUAGAAUUGUCCCUAAAAGUAAGAAAGAAAGAACACUACUCUUUAUAAAAUCGUGUUAGAAUUUCUCUCCUUUUAAAACUAUGUAUGUAUAAAGGUUUUUCUCUAUGGGUUUUUUUCUUUGGAGAAUAUACAGAAAGAAGUUAUAGUAUUUCUCUCACAUUUCAAAACCAGGAAUGCAUGGAAAAGGGUUUUUUCUAUACGGGGCUUUCCAUGUUUGGAGAACGAGACAGAGAGAGGAGAGUCCAUAUGAAGUCUACUUGCUAGUUGCUGCCACGCAAAAGGUAUUUUAUAAUUUGAGUUCGAAUAAUUUAGUUCUUUUUUUAUUUUGUAUUUUUAAUUAAAUUAUGGCACAGAAAACAUUUUUUCCGUUUAGUAUAAAUGCAAUAAUAUUUGCUGGAGGAAAGAUAGAUUUUCCGGGCUCUGUUUGUGUAGAUAGAAAAUGGUUUGGGGAAACAUCUUUGGGCAUGGCGGUACAUUUCCAAUUCUGCCUAGCUGCUUCUGAUUUGUCGAUUGUUUGCUGCCUUGGCCAUUGCUUUUCUACUACAAAUUAGGGCUGAUCGAGCUUCGGAGCUUUACGAUCUUCAAAACUGGUGAGAGACACGAACAUUCUCUAGAAAUGAGUACUAGUUUCCUCUGUAGAAGAGUAGUGUCACUCACAAAUGUGGGCCAAAUGUUUGAAAUUUCAAGGACCCCGGUGCAUUUUCUUCAAAAUUCCCAACUUCUUAUGUUUAGAUCUUUCUUUUCGCCCAAACAACAUUCUUUCACAGUGUCUUACCUCAUGAACUCAUGUGGGUUGUCCCCAGAAAGUGCUUUAUCUGCGUCACGGAAGAUACAGUUUGAAACCCCAGAAAGAGCAGACUCCGUCCUCGCACUCCUUAGAAAUUAUGGAUGCACCAAUACCCAUAUCUCCAAAAUUGUUAGC
RNAcentral lists this long non-coding RNA (5498 nucleotides) under Vitis vinifera (wine grape). Its description in RNAcentral is "long non-coding RNA (VVIN_LNC002035)". The record is from RNAcentral. Lineage: Eukaryota; Viridiplantae; Streptophyta; Magnoliopsida; Vitales; Vitaceae.